RNAcentral lists this ribosomal RNA (253 nucleotides) under uncultured bacterium. Its description in RNAcentral is "partial 16S ribosomal RNA". It matches the Rfam family "Bacterial small subunit ribosomal RNA", at positions 524 to 776 of the family's 1533-position model. The record is from RNAcentral.
UACAGAGGUCUCAAGCGUUGUUCGGAUUCAUUGGGCGUAAAGGGUGCGUAGGUGGCGCGAUAAGUCGGGUGUGAAAUCUCGGAGCUUAACUCCGAAAUUGCAUUCGAUACUGCCGUGCUUGAGGACUGGAGAGGAGACUGGAAUUCAUGGUGUAGCAGUGAAAUGCGUAGAGAUCAUGAGGAAGACCAGUGGCGAAGGCGGGUCUCUGGACAGUUCCUGACACUGAGGCACGAAGGCCAGGGGAGCAAACGGG